Eptesicus fuscus (big brown bat) is the source of this 533-nucleotide long non-coding RNA. RefSeq lists it as uncharacterized. The transcript has 4 exons. Lineage: Eukaryota; Metazoa; Chordata; Mammalia; Chiroptera; Vespertilionidae. The record is from RefSeq and is a predicted model, not a curated record.
GCUUGGAGAACCCCCAGUCUGAGGGCAACAAGACGCGGCUUCGGAAGGACGAUUGGGAAGAAGGACUGAGAAGAGGCCCCUAACGCAGACACACCUUCUAAGUGGAGGAGUGGAGAAAGAAUAAAACUGAAAAGGCAAAGCAGGAGGGGGAGCCCCGGGAACAUUCCAGAACCUCACUGCCUUUGCUGUUCUCUGCACGCUGGCCACCGCACCCACCGAGAGCAGCGGCCCAGAGGCUGGACUAGCCGGUUAGAAUCGGUGUUGUGCUCACCAGAUGCAGGACCUUGGUUACACAAUGAAUAGCAUUCCAGGAGCCAGUGUCUCGUUCCAGGGACCCCGCAUGUCCCUCCUGCCACAGAUGGAGAAAGCAGGGCCCUCAGCAUGCAGAGAACAGAGUAAAGCUGACCCGAGACCUCGCGGAAAGGAAAGGAGCCCGGACAGGCGAGGAGCAGCUCCUGGCUGCAGACAGGACUUUCCCAGGAGUUUGGAAUUGAUGAGAUAACACUGCACGCGAGGUCAUGCUCUUCGUGUGG